CGCACUGGGUCCUUGGGGCUCCGAAGGUUUCUGCCUGCUGCUUGGUGGAUCUUGGAGCAUUGGGCCCAGGUGCGUCUUCAGGCCUGUGAGCCUGUGGCUACAGAGCUCUUGGCUACAGGGACCUGAGUCUUCUUGGACCCACAGCUUCAGGCCCCACGGUGGGCAGACAGCGGUUUCUCAGGUCCCGUGGUGGGCAGACAGCAGUUUCCCAGGGCCCACGGCGGGCAGAUGGCAG
Molecule: long non-coding RNA, 235 nt
Filed under: Homo sapiens (human)
Lineage: Eukaryota; Metazoa; Chordata; Mammalia; Primates; Hominidae
Description: HSALNT0226381
Source: RNAcentral